GCAGCCCCUCGGCGGCCGGGCCCGAAAGAAAUACAGAUGCAAAAGCAGGACGUGGGUAAAUGAGAGAAGAUAAGGUAUUGCUCCUGCAAGCAGAACAUCCUGUCUUCAAAGUGGAAAGACCUCUGUGCUUUUGUGGACUUCAUGGCCUGCCAGAUGGAGACGGCUCCAAGUAACACUGAGAUCUUAUUGCUGCAGAAAACCAAGGAGAGCUAUAACCCCAAGUACUGCAGGUGUAGGAGGGAGUACUUGCUUGGAUGAUGAUUCAUGUCAGCAUCUGAAUAAAUAAGGUCAGACAGCCA
Molecule: long non-coding RNA, 299 nt
Organism: Melospiza melodia melodia
Lineage: Eukaryota; Metazoa; Chordata; Aves; Passeriformes; Passerellidae
Exons: 3
Source: RefSeq, a predicted model, not a curated record